GGGCAUUGUUUAUUUCAUCACGUGUUUGGACUGGGGUGUCCUUUCGCGCACAUUACGCCAAAAGUGUUCCAUACAUACUCGAUAUUGUUCAAAUCCGGGCUACGAUCGGGCCAAGGAAGAUAAACCGAAUUCCAUUGGAACAACGGAUCUUCCUCCACGAUGCUAAUUUCCAACUAUGGCGAGCUCUGCACUACAUUGAAUAAGGGCAACUGUGUGUCUGUUCGUAAGCAAAGGUCCCCGAAAUGGUCUUAUCGCACGAUAACCAGUAGCGAUGAGUCAAUCUCGAACAAUUUUGGUUAAAAGGCUCCUGUAUGCCCACCACUCUCAUUUUAGGAUUGUAUUGUAUGCAAUGGGUUUCUUUCUGACCAAGCUUCAUUAUGCUUGAUUUUCCCUAGCAGAUGGCAUAGGGGGUCUUUUUGAUCUCUGAUAGUCUUUAACAUCGUUUAUUGCCUGAUUUUAUUCUCAAAACGACUAAUAGUGAAAUGGUGAUGACCAACAAUACGUGCGGUUGUCACAGCGACAUUCCUGCUUCUCUCAUGCUGAUAAUCUGCCAUCUUGCUGCGGUUAAGAGUUGUGGAGGACCCAUUACAAGGUGUCAAUCACAUAACUUUAUAAACUUGGUUAUUUAAAGUGUUGAAAACAAUGAGGAUAAAAACACCUGUUUUGCUGUUUACGAGUACAGUAGCUGCAUGUGGAGAUAAGAACUCAUCGAGUCAAUAAUUAUUGAUCAAACUCAGGUGAUAUUUUAAAAAUGUUUAACUAGUUCUAUUUUAAC
Molecule: long non-coding RNA, 775 nt
Filed under: Mytilus galloprovincialis (Mediterranean mussel)
Lineage: Eukaryota; Metazoa; Mollusca; Bivalvia; Mytilida; Mytilidae
Source: RNAcentral